CCUACGGGAGGCAGCAGUGGGGAAUAUUGCACAAUGGGGGAAACCCUGAUGCAGCGACGCCGCGUGAGUGAAGAAGUAAUUCGUUAUGUAAAGCUCUAUCAGCAGGGAAGAAAAUGACGGUACCUGAGUAAGAAGCCCCGGCUAACUACGUGACAGCAGCCGCGGUAAUACGUAGGGGGCAAGCGUUAUCCGGAUUUACUGGGUGUAAAGGGAGCGUAGAGGGCAGUGCAAGUCUGGAGUGAAAGGCGGGGGCUCAAUCCCCGGACUGCUCUGGAAACUGGACGGCUGGAGUGAGGGAGAGGUAAGUGGAAUUCCUAGUGUAGCGGUGAAAUGCGUAGAUAUAAGGAAGAACACCAGUGGCGAAGGCAGCUUACUGGACCGUAACUGACGUUGAGGGACGAAAGCGUGGGGAGCAAACAGGAUUAGAUACCCGGGUAGUC
This 440-nucleotide ribosomal RNA is filed under the name uncultured bacterium. RNAcentral's name for it is "partial 16S ribosomal RNA". It matches the Rfam family "Bacterial small subunit ribosomal RNA", at positions 338 to 795 of the family's 1533-position model. The record is from RNAcentral.